AGUGAACGCUGGCGGUAGGCCUAACACAUGCAAGUCGAACGGCAGCACAGUAAGAGCUUGCUCUUACGGGUGGCGAGUGGUGAACGGUUGAGGAAUACCUCGGAAGCUACUUUUUCGUGGGGGAUAACGUAGGGAAACUUACGCUAAUACCCCAUAGGACCUACGGGGGAAAGCAGGGGAUCUUCGGACCUUGCGCGAUUGAAUGAGCCGAUGUCGGAUUAGCUAGUUGGAGGGGUAAAGGCCCACCAAGGCGACGAUCCGUAGCUGGUCUGAGAGGAUGAUCAGCCACACUGGAACUGAGACACGGUCCAGACUCCUACGGGAGGCAGCAGUGGGGAAUAUUGGACAAUGGGCGCAAGCCUGAUCCAGCCAUACCGCGUGGGUGAAGAAGGCCUUCGGGUUGUAAAGCCCUUUUGUUGGGAAAGAAAAGCAGCAGGUUAAUACCCCGCUGUUCUGACGGUACCCAAAGAAUAAGCACCGGCUAACUUCGUG
This 492-nucleotide ribosomal RNA is filed under the name uncultured bacterium. RNAcentral describes it as "partial 16S ribosomal RNA". It matches the Rfam family "Bacterial small subunit ribosomal RNA", at positions 29 to 507 of the family's 1533-position model. The record is from RNAcentral.